GACGAACGCUGGCGGCGUGCCUAAUACAUGCAAGUCGAACGCAGUGGGGGCGGGUGAGUAACACGUGCGUAACCUCCCAUCAGAGGGGAUAACACUUGGAAACAGGUACUAAAUCCGAUACUGAUGGAUGGACCCGCGGUGCAUUAGCUAGUUGGUGAGGUAACGGCUCCCCAAGGCCACGAUGCAUAGGCUACCGGAUAGGAUGAGAAGCAACACUGGGACUGAGACACGGCCCAGACUCCUACGGGAGGGAGCAGUAGGGAAUCGUCGGCAAUGGACGAAAGUCUAACCGGGAAACGCCGCGUGAGUGAAGAAGGUAUUCGUAUCGUAAAACUAUGUUGUUAGAGAAGCGGUAUCUAACCAGAAAGCCACGGCUAACUACGUGCCAGCAGCCGCGGUAAUUC
Molecule: ribosomal RNA, 404 nt
Filed under: uncultured bacterium
Lineage: Bacteria
Description: partial 16S ribosomal RNA
Rfam family: Bacterial small subunit ribosomal RNA
Source: RNAcentral